This is a long non-coding RNA of Vidua chalybeata, 496 nucleotides long. RefSeq lists it as uncharacterized. The record is from RefSeq and is a predicted model, not a curated record. The transcript has 2 exons. Lineage: Eukaryota; Metazoa; Chordata; Aves; Passeriformes; Viduidae.
GUCAGGGCACUGCCCCACCAGGGCAAGGCCCCAGCUGCCCUACCCCACACACCUGCAUCCCAAAACGUCUCCUGGCAUCAAUCUUUCCAGUGUCUGACACAAGGGCAGCAUGAAGGAGGAGGAGGAGAGAGGAGGGUCUCCCUUUUGGGCAUGGCCCAAGCCCUGUGGCACAGGGGGCAAUGCUCACCUCCUUGGCUGGGCCCGGAGUGACGAACGUGCGCCGACUGCUGUGGGUGAAGGCUAUCCCAUUGACCUACAACUGGCACAAGACGUGCUGAUGCUGUAAUUAGUAAAUACCCUCUGCAAGUGACAGCAAAAGAUUUAUAGCCACCGUUGGAGGCUUCACUUUCAGCAAAAGGAGAAGCACCAAAGUGUUUGUUGCUGUUUACUGCAUUUUUAUGCAGAUUCCCAGCAGGGUCCAGCCAGCAUUUUGUGCUGCAGGCCUGGUAAAUAAAUCUUUACUGACCUGUUGUGGCAGAAGCCACGUAUGAAUGUG